This 253-nucleotide long non-coding RNA is filed under the name Lathyrus oleraceus (garden pea). RNAcentral's name for it is "Pisum sativum (pea) long non-coding RNA (PSAT_LNC015103)". The record is from RNAcentral. Lineage: Eukaryota; Viridiplantae; Streptophyta; Magnoliopsida; Fabales; Fabaceae.
UUUUCUUUUUUGUAGCAAAUUUUUACAAUUCUUUGGUUUAAAUGACUUUGUGAGGGUCACCUAUACCGGAGUUGACUUUUUGCUUUCUUUUAUUUUUUUGUUUUCCUGGAUCAUUCACUUAUUUGCAUCGGUCCCCUACGUAGAGGAUGCUUAGGCCGGAGCUGACUGCUGAGAUAAACCACUGAGGACUUAUACGGAAAUGAUGAUUAAGGCCAUGGUAUAUGGGGUUUCGGGAGUAGUUCCUAUAUUUACG